GUCGCGCUGACCUUUGAACACGGGAACCGGUAUCCCCGGUUAAGGUUUGCUUCAGCCGCUCUGCGUCUUCAGUGCGGCGGCUGCCGCGGCAACUUCCACACCAAAUGCGUUAAAAUUCCAUCCGAUACCCUCGUUCAAAUCAAAGCGGGAGACGUCUUUUGAAAAUGCUCCAAAUACCAGAGUAACGUUGAUAAAUCCGUCAUGUCUUCUAUACAGACUGAGGUGAAGAAAUUAUCACGCAAGUACGAUGAAAUCAUUAAAUUUAUCUCAUUCUAUGGGGAUUGUAGAGAAGGGUUGCCAUUCUAACGUAAUGUAAAUGGAAUGUAGCGGUUCUUUCUGAUAAAUUAAAGACAAAAAACAGGGUGUUGCCAAAUUAGAAGAAAAAACAUAAAUUUCUUUUUACACCCCGUAUAUGGGUAAAACGUUGACAAUUGUCAGAAACCAUCAACACAUUUCUUCCUUAAAAAUCAACCUAUAUCGUGAAGAAAGAAUCAUUAAAAUCCAUCCGUUGAUUCAAAAAAAAACCUUUAAACUUAAUGCAUAAUUUAGGUGGUGCGAUAAUUUUGGAGAGUAGUGUAUUUAAGAAAUAUAUACUUAAAUUUAUUUAAUUUCUUUACCUAAGAAUAUUUUUUACUUUGGAAUUUUUGUACUAGAGAGAAGAAAAUGUUAUCUGUAAAUGAUCAAUUUGCGUUUUGUAGAUGCAAAAACAACCAACAUUUUGGGAAAACACGCAAAAAAAUUUAAAAAUUUUUUUAUUCCAAAUGUGUAUUACCUGAAUUAGUACAUCCUAGGUUUUCCAGGCCUCCACCUCAUAAUAUAAUUCGGAAUACCGAUCGAAGAGAUUCACUUUAAAAGUGAAGAAAGAUAAAUAAGAUAGUUGAAAACUUUUUAUUGACAAAGCUGCAAUUAUUGUUGCGCAAACUCCUUGAAGACAUGAUAUCUUUGAGUCCUAGAUCAAAAAGUGGACUCCUUAUUAAGUAGACAAAUAAAAUUAUCAAAAAUUUUGUUCCUAGACCCAAGGGGAAUACAAUAAAAUUGUACAUACUUAUAUUACAAUACAUUGUUUCUUUUCUACUUUGAUAAAUAAAUAUCUUUACAAAACA
Molecule: non-coding RNA, 1103 nt
Organism: Onthophagus taurus
Lineage: Eukaryota; Metazoa; Arthropoda; Insecta; Coleoptera; Scarabaeidae
Source: RefSeq, a predicted model, not a curated record